Molecule: ribosomal RNA, 756 nt
Filed under: uncultured bacterium
Lineage: Bacteria
Description: bacterial SSU rRNA
Rfam family: Bacterial small subunit ribosomal RNA
Source: RNAcentral
AGAGUUUGAUCAUGGCUCAGAAUCAACGCUGGCGGCGCGCUUAACACAUGCAAGUCGAACGAGAAAGGGGAGCAAUCCCUGAGUAAAGUGGCGCACGGGUGAGUAACACGUGGGUAAUCUACCCUUGGGUGGGGAAUAACGCUGGGAAACCGGCGCUAAUACCGCAUAAGCCUGGAAAGGAAAGGCGAAAGUCGCCGAAGGAGGAGCCCGCGGCCGAUUAGCUAGUUGGUAGGGUAAAGGCCUACCAAGGCUUCGAUCGGUAGCCGGCCUGAAAGGGCACACGGCCACACUGGCACUGAAACACGGGCCAGACUCCUACGGGAGGCAGCAGUGGGGAAUCUUGCACAAUGGGGGAAACCCUGAUGCAGCGACGCCGCGUGAGUGAUGACGCCCUUCGGGGUGUAAAGCUCUUUCGACCGGAACGAUAAUGACGGUACCGGGAGAAGAAGCUGCGGCUAACUACGUGCCAGCAGCCGCGGUAAUACGUAGGCAGCGAGCGUUGUUCGGAGUUACUGGGCGUAAAGCGUGCGUAGGCGGUUUUCUAAGUCUGGUGUGAAAUCUCCCGGCUUAACCGGGAGGGUGCGCCGGAUACUGGAAGGCUUGGAGUGCGGGAGAGGUAAGCGGAAUUCCUGGUGUAGCGGUGAAAUGCGUAGAUAUCAGGAGGAACACCGGUGGUGUAGACGGCUUACUGGACCGUAACUGACGCUGAGGCACGAAAGCGUGGGGAGCAAACAGGAUUAGAUACCCUAGUAGUCC